RNAcentral lists this long non-coding RNA (485 nucleotides) under Lactuca sativa (garden lettuce). RNAcentral describes it as "long non-coding RNA (LSAT_LNC006597)". Lineage: Eukaryota; Viridiplantae; Streptophyta; Magnoliopsida; Asterales; Asteraceae. The record is from RNAcentral.
UAAGACCCAAUAACCUAAAGAUUAUCAAAAUUAAUCCGUUUGUUAGUUUAUUUUUGGUUUUGGUUCAAUUAUUCCCUAAAAUAGCAUAAAAGGCCCACUUUUUGUAAAAAUGACGUUUUUGGCCCAAUAGACAAAAAUUUACAAUUAAUGCCCAAUUUUUGUAAAAAUAACACUUUAGUCCCCAUUUUGUUCAAAACUUGUGUUUAUGACUUGUUUGUGGUAAAAAUAACAUUUUAAACCCAUUUUUGUCAAAAAUAUCAUUUUUGACUNGUUUGUGUAAAAAUAACAUUUUAAACCCAUUUUUGUCAAAAAUAUCAUUUUUGACUUGAUUUUUGUGAAAACACACAUUUUUCUGGUUUUUGGCUUUUAUGACCUAGUUGUUGGAAAAUUUGUAGAAAAAUCAUCGUAAGUCGAAAUUUGGAUCCGUAAAUUCUGGAAGUUUUUAAAUUUUGUCUACUUUGUUCACAAUUUUUAUCAUAAUUUUU